AGUUGCGUGGUGUAGCUGGUAAUCACACCAGUCUAACACACUGGCGGUCCCCGGUUCGACCCCGGGCGAAGUCA
This 74-nucleotide transfer RNA is filed under the name Tuber borchii (whitish truffle). Its description in RNAcentral is "tRNA-Val". Lineage: Eukaryota; Fungi; Ascomycota; Pezizomycetes; Pezizales; Tuberaceae. The record is from RNAcentral.